Molecule: ribosomal RNA, 444 nt
Filed under: uncultured bacterium
Lineage: Bacteria
Description: partial 16S ribosomal RNA
Rfam family: Bacterial small subunit ribosomal RNA
Source: RNAcentral
GUAGGGAAUAUUGGGCAAUGGAGGCAACUCUGACCCAGCCAUGCCGCGUGCAGGAUGACGGCCCUCUGGGUUGUAAACUGCUUUUAUACGGGAAGAAAAAAUACUACGUGUAGUAUACUGACGGUACCGUAAGAAUAAGGAUCGGCUAACUCCGUGCCAGCAGCCGCGGUAAUACGGAGGAUCCAAGCGUUGUCCGGAUUUAUUGGGUUUAAAGGGUGCGUAGGCGGAUCUUUAAGUCAGUGGUGAAAGCCUGCAGCUUAACUGUAGAAUUGCCAUUGAAACUGAAGAUCUUGAAUGUGGUUAAAGUAGGCGGAAUGUAUCAUGUAGCGGUGAAAUGCUUAGAUAUGAUACAGAACACCGAUAGCGAAGGCAGCUUGCUGAACCAUUAUUGACGCUGAGGCACGAAAGCGUGGGGAGCGAACAGGAUUAGAACCCCGGUAGUCC